Non-coding RNA from Rattus norvegicus (Norway rat), 1556 nucleotides. Lineage: Eukaryota; Metazoa; Chordata; Mammalia; Rodentia; Muridae. The record is from the annotation of a RefSeq genome assembly.
CUCAUUACAAGCCCAAGACAAAAGCUACCUCUUCUUUCUGCCUUCACUAUUCAGUAUUCUUCAUAUCAAGUGUUCAGAAUGAAGUUUCCUGCUCAGUUUCUUGGGCUGAUAGUGCUCUGGAUUCCUGGAGCAACUGGUGAUAUUGUGAUGACUCAAGCUCCACUCUCUGUAUCUGUCACUCCUGGAGAGUCAGCUUCCAUCUCCUGCAGAUCUAGUAAGAGUCUGUUACAUAGUAAUGGCAACACUUACGUGAAUUGGUACCUUCAGAAGCCAGGAAAGUCUCCUCAGUUCCUGAUAUAUCGGAUGUCCAACCUUGCCUCAGGAGUUCCAGACAGGUUUAGUGGCAGUGGGUCAGAAACAGAUUUUACACUGAAAAUCAGUAAGGUGGAGACUGAGGAUGUUGGUGUUUAUUACUGUGGACAUGGUCUAGAAUAUCCUCCCACAGUGUUACAGCCUUGAACAAAAACACCACGCUUGAGGUGAAAUAACUGCCUCAUAAACUGCUUGUAUCAGCUGUAGCAUGGUAUAACUGGCGUGACAAAGUGAACAUAUAUUUUAAGGAGACACUUAUUUACCUCUGACUCAGCUAUUGACACAAUGGACCAUGGAAAUUCGAACUUCCAUGAGAGUUUCAUGCUCUGAGGAGCAGAAGCAGCAACUUCUCUGCGGGGACAAGAUUUCAUAGUGUCUUAUCUGACAAAGUUCAGUCAGUUAUAUCAAUGAUAGGUAGGACCAAACCUUGAACAGCACUUCUACAGUGUUCAUCUCUUUGAAUUUCCGUUUCAUAUUUAAUCUCAUUUCAGAACUACAUGAGACUCAGAUAGUUAUCUUUAAAUGUAUUUGUUUCAUUGGUCAAUUUUAUUUUUCUGGUUUUUAAUUCCAGUUUGGCUUACUGAGGGCAGGUUGCUAGUCUAGACAUGGGACAUAAUGUGUAUAUUAUGGAGAUUCUUUGAGACUUUAUAAAAGGUAGAUGUUGAAAGAUCCAAGAUAAUGAGUAGUUGAUUAAUUGCACGGAGAGAAAAAGAGGGAGAGAGAGAGAGAGAGAGAGAGAGAGAGAGAGAGAGAGAAAUAAAGGGAAAGGAGACUAAAAUGUCUGAACCAGGAUGCCUGCUGCUUAUACCUUACCUUUAUGUCUUAUCUUCUCUAAUUUCCGCGGUGGGAGAUCAUACCUUGAAUGUCCCUAUAAUGUACAUAGCUGUCACUGUCCAUGCCAGUGGGAGUACUUCCAAAUUAUUUUGUAUCUGUUAAUUAAUUUAUUCAUUUUAAUAUCCCUGUCAAUUCCUCUGCUCAAUCUCUGCCCCUCACAAGUCUCCCCAUCCCCUUCUCCCUUGAGAGGGUCAAGACCCUCUCUGGGUGUUCCCCGACUCUGGUGCAUUAAAUUUCUCUAGGACUAGGUUAAUCUUCUCUCACUGAGGCCAGAAAAUGCAGACCAUAAAAGGACUGGACUCCCCAGACAAGCAACAGGGAGCUCUCAUUUUCAAUGUUGCCAUAGCACCAGUUAACAUAUGAAAGAGGGGUAGAGCUGCUAUAAAGCUGUUGCUAGAUUCUAACAUCAU